ACAGGCUUAACACAUGCAAGUCGAGGGGCAGCAUGGUCUUAGCUUGCUAAGGCCGAUGGCGACCGGCGCACGGGUGAGUAACACGUAUCCAACCUGCCGUCUACUCUUGGACAGCCUUCUGAAAGGAAGAUUAAUACAAGAUGGCAUCAUGAGUCCGCAUGUUCACAUGAUUAAAGGUAUUCCGGUAGACGAUGGGGAUGCGUUCCAUUAGAUAGUAGGCGGGGUAACGGCCCACCUAGUCUUCGAUGGAUAGGGGUUCUGAGAGGAAGGUCCCCCACAUUGGAACUGAGACACGGUCCAAACUCCUACGGGAGGCAGCAGUGAGGAAUAUUGGUCAAUGGGCGAGAGCCUGAACCAGCCAAGUAGCGUGAAGGAUGACUGCCCUAUGGGUUGUAAACUUCUUUUAUAAAGGAAUAAAGUCGGGUAUGGAUACCCGUUUGCAUGUACUUUAUGAAUAAGGAUCGGCUAACUCCGUGCCAGCAGCCGCGGUAAUACGGAGGAUCCGAGCGUUAUCCGGAUUUAUUGGGUUUAAAGGGAGCGUAGAUGGAUGUUUAAGUCAGUUGUGAAAGUUUGCGGCUCAACCGUAAAAUUGCAGUUGAUACUGGAUAUCUUGAGUGCAGUUGAGGCAGGCGGAAUUCGUGGUGUAGCGGUGAAAUGCUUAGAUAUCACGAAGAAUUCCGAUUGCGAAGGCAGCCUGCUAAGCUGCAACUGACAUUGAGGCUCGAAAGUGUGGGUAUCAAACAGGAUUAGAUACCCUGGUAGUCCACACGGUAAACGAUGAAUACUCGCUGUUUGCGAUAUACAGCAAGCGGCCAAGCGAAAGCGUUAAGUAUUCCACCUGGGGAGUACGCCGGCAACGGUGAAACUCAAAGGAAUUGACGGGGGCCCGCACAAGCGGAGGAACAUGUGGUUUAAUUCGAUGAUACGCGAGGAACCUUACCCGGGCUUAAAUUGCAGAUGAAUUACGGUGAAAGCCGUAAGCCGCAAGGCAUCUGUGAAGGUGCUGCAUGGUUGUCGUCAGCUCGUGCCGUGAGGUGUCGGCUUAAGUGCCAUAACGAGCGCAACCCUUGUUGUCAGUUACUAACAGGUUCCGCUGAGGACUCUGACAAGACUGCCAUCGUAAGAUGUGAGGAAGGUGGGGAUGACGUCAAAUCAGCACGGCCCUUACGUCCGGGGCUACACACGUGUUACAAUGGGGGGUACAGAGGGCCGCUACCACGCGAGUGGAUGCCAAUCCCAAAAACCUCUCUCAGUUCGGACUGGAGUCUGCAACCCGACUCCACGAAGCUGGAUUCGCUAGUAAUCGCGCAUCAGCCACGGCGCGGUGAAUACGUUCCCGGGCCUUGUACACACCGCCCGUCAAGCCAUGGGAGCCGGGGGUACCUGAAGUGCGUAACCGCGAGGAGCGCCCUAGGGUAAAACUGGUGACUGGGGCU
This 1436-nucleotide ribosomal RNA is filed under the name uncultured organism. RNAcentral describes it as "SSU rRNA". It matches the Rfam family "Bacterial small subunit ribosomal RNA". The record is from RNAcentral.